UACGGGAGGCAGCAGUGGGGAAUAUUGCACAAUGGGCGCAAGCCUGAUGCAGCCAUGCCGCGUGUAUGAAGAAGGCCUUCGGGUUGUAAAGUACUUUCAGUCGUGAGGAAGGUGUUAAGGUUAAUAACCUUAGCAAUUGACGUUAGCGACAGAAGAAGCACCGGCUAACUCCGUGCCAGCAGCCGCGGUAAUACGGAGGGUGCGAGCGUUAAUCGGAAUUACUGGGCGUAAAGGGCACGCAGGCGGUUAAUUAAGUUGGAUGUGAAAUCCCCGGGCUUAACCUGGGAAUGGCAUUCAAGACUGGUUAGCUAGAGUCUUGUAGAGGGGGUAGAAUUCCAUGUGUAGCGGUGAAAUGCGUAGAGAUGUGGAGGAAUACCGGUGGGCGAAAGGCGGCCCCCUGGGACAAAGACUGACGCUCAUGUGCGAAAGCGUGGGGAGCAAACAGGGAUUAGAUACC
Molecule: ribosomal RNA, 457 nt
Filed under: uncultured bacterium
Lineage: Bacteria
Description: bacterial SSU rRNA
Rfam family: Bacterial small subunit ribosomal RNA
Source: RNAcentral